GCUGGGAUGGCCGAGUCGUUAAGGCGAGUGAUUUGAAUUACCAAUAUCACUUGGUGUUUCACCGCGUAGGUUCAAAUCCUGCUCCCAGCG
This is a non-coding RNA of Paramarasmius palmivorus, 90 nucleotides long. The record is from the annotation of a GenBank genome assembly. NCBI's taxonomy places the organism in Eukaryota, Fungi, Basidiomycota, Agaricomycetes, Agaricales, Marasmiaceae.